GACGAACGCUGGCGGCGUGCUUAACACAUGCAAGUCGAACGGUAAGCCUCCCUCUUGCUGCCUUACACGAGUGGCGAACGGGUGAGUGCCACAUGGGUGAGCUGCCCUGCCCUUCGUGACAGGCCUAGGCAACUGAGACUACUACCGGAUCGGACGGCACCGUGUGGGUGUCGUGGAAAGUUUUUUCGGUGUGGAAUAGCCCCGCGGCCUAUCAGAUUGUUGGUGGGGUAAUGGCCUACCAAGGCGGCGACGGGUAGCCGGCCUGAGAGGGUGGACGGGCACAGUGGGAGAGUGAGACGGGCCAGAGACCUACGGGAGGCAGCAGUGGGGAAUAUAGUGCAAUGGGGGGAAGCCUGAGGCAGAGACGCCGCGUGAGGGAUAAUAACCUUCUGGUAGUAAACAGCUUUCUCCGGCGAGAAAGGGGUUCUGACGGUAGCUGGAGAAGAAGCACCGGCUAACUACGUG
Molecule: ribosomal RNA, 465 nt
Filed under: uncultured bacterium
Lineage: Bacteria
Description: partial 16S ribosomal RNA
Rfam family: Bacterial small subunit ribosomal RNA
Source: RNAcentral